Molecule: ribosomal RNA, 626 nt
Filed under: uncultured bacterium
Lineage: Bacteria
Description: bacterial SSU rRNA
Rfam family: Bacterial small subunit ribosomal RNA
Source: RNAcentral
AGAGUUUGAUCCUGGCUCAGAACGAACGUUGGCGAUGCGUUUAAGGCAUGCAAGUCGAGCGAGAAGCUUUCUUCGGAAAGUGGAGAGCGGCGAACUGGUGAGUAACACGUAGGCAACCUGCCCUUAAGAGGGGGAUAGCUCCUGGAAACAGGGAUUAAUACCCCAUAGUCAUUGAUGUCAUAAGAUGUUAAUGUAAAGUGGCAACACACUUAAGGAUGGGCCUGCGUCCCAUUAGCUAGUUGGUAAGGUAACUGCUUACCAAGGCGACGAUGGGUAGCCGACCUGAGAGGGUGAUCGGCCACAUUGGGACUGAGAUACGGCCCAGACUCCUACGGGAGGCAGCAGCUAAGAAUCUUCCGCAAUGGACGAAAGUCUGACGGAGCGACAUCGCGUGAAGGAUGAAGGCCCUCGGGUUGUAAACUUCUUUUAACACUGAUGAACGACUGACCGUAAGUGUUGAAUAAGCCUCGGCUAAUUACGUGCCAGCAGCCGCGGUAAUACGUAAGAGGCAAACGUUGUUCGGAUUUACUGGGCGUAAAGGGUGAGUAGGCGGAAUGUUAAGUCUAAGGUGAAAUCCCGGGGCUCAACCCCGGUCCCGCCUUGGAUACUGGCACUCUAGAGUAUGA